RNAcentral lists this ribosomal RNA (468 nucleotides) under uncultured bacterium. RNAcentral's name for it is "partial 16S ribosomal RNA". It matches the Rfam family "Bacterial small subunit ribosomal RNA", at positions 28 to 507 of the family's 1533-position model. The record is from RNAcentral.
GACGAACGCUGGCGGCGUGCUUAACACAUGCAAGUCGAACGGAAAGGCCCUGCUUUUGUGGGGUGCUCGAGUGGCGAACGGGUGAGUAACACGUGAGUAACCUGCCCUUGACUUUGGGAUAACUUCAGGAAACUGGGGCUAAUACCGGAUAGGAGCUCCUGCUGCAUGGUGGGGGUUGGAAAGUUUCGGCGGUUGGGGAUGGACUCGCGGCUUAUCAGCUUGUUGGUGGGGUAGUGGCUUACCAAGGCUUUGACGGGUAGCCGGCCUGAGAGGGUGACCGGCCACAUUGGGACUGAGAUGCGGCACAGACUCAUACGGGAGGCAGCAGUGGGGAAUAUUGUACAAUGGGCGGAAGCCUGAUGCAGCAACGCCGCGUGCGGGAUGACGGCCUUCGGGUUGUAAACCGCUUUCGCCUGUGACGAAGCGUGAGUGACGGUAAUGGGUAAAGAAGCACCGGCUAACUACGUG